AUACGGAGGGUGCGAGCGUUACUCGGAGUCACUGGGCGUAAAGCGUCCGUAGGCGGUCGGGUAAGUCGGGUGUGAAAGCCCCGGGCUCAACCUGGGAAGUGCACCCGAUACUGCUCGACUCGAGUGCGGGAGAGGAUGGCGGAAUUCCCGGUGUAGCGGUGAAAUGCGUAGAGAUCGGGAGGAACACCAGUGGCGAAGGCGGCCAUCUGGCCCGCAACUGACGCUGAGGGACGAAAGUGUGGGGAGCAAACAGGAUUAGAAACCCUAGUAGUCC
RNAcentral lists this ribosomal RNA (274 nucleotides) under uncultured bacterium. Its description in RNAcentral is "partial 16S ribosomal RNA". It matches the Rfam family "Bacterial small subunit ribosomal RNA", at positions 523 to 796 of the family's 1533-position model. The record is from RNAcentral.